Molecule: ribosomal RNA, 497 nt
Filed under: uncultured bacterium
Lineage: Bacteria
Description: partial 16S ribosomal RNA
Rfam family: Bacterial small subunit ribosomal RNA
Source: RNAcentral
GAUGAACGCUGGCGGCGUGCCUAAUACAUGCAAGUCGAGCGAACGGACGAGAAGCUUGCUUCUCUGAUGUUAGCGGCGGACGGGUGAGUAACACGUGGAUAACCUACCUAUAAGACUGGGAUAACUUCGGGAAACCGGAGCUAAUACCGGAUAAUAUUUUGAACCGCAUGGUUCAAAAGUGAAAGACGGUCUUGCUGUCACUUAUAGAUGGAUCCGCGCUGCAUUAGCUAGUUGGUAAGGUAACGGCUUACCAAGGCAACGAUUCAUAGCCGACCUGAGAGGGUGAUCGGCCACACUGGAACUGAGACACGGUCCAGACUCCUACGGGAGGCAGCAGUAGGGAAUCUUCCGCAAUGGGCGAAAGCCUGACGGAGCAACGCCGCGUGAGUGAUGAAGGUCUUCGGAUCGUAAAACUCUGUUAUUAGGGAAGAACAUAUGUGUAAGUAACUGUACACAUCUUGACGGUACCUAAUCAGAAAGCCACGGCUAACUACGUG